AAACUGAAGAGUUUGAUCCUGGCUCAGAUUGAACGCUGGCGGCAUGCUUUACACAUGCAAGUCGAACGGCA
This 71-nucleotide ribosomal RNA is filed under the name Methylophilaceae bacterium. Its description in RNAcentral is "partial 16S ribosomal RNA". It matches the Rfam family "Bacterial small subunit ribosomal RNA", at positions 1 to 71 of the family's 1533-position model. Lineage: Bacteria; Pseudomonadati; Pseudomonadota; Betaproteobacteria; Nitrosomonadales; Methylophilaceae. RNAcentral also lists the same sequence under 3 other names. The record is from RNAcentral.